Long non-coding RNA from Aricia agestis (brown argus), 78 nucleotides. RefSeq lists it as uncharacterized. The transcript is spliced from 3 exons. The record is from RefSeq and is a predicted model, not a curated record. NCBI's taxonomy places the organism in Eukaryota, Metazoa, Arthropoda, Insecta, Lepidoptera, Lycaenidae.
CAUUUGCAUCUGUUAUUGGUUUGUACAGUAUUGUCCGAGCAAAGUAAGCACUCUUUAAAUACUGUCAGUAGUUCCUGG